AUUGAACGCUGGCGGCAGGCCUAACACAUGCAAGUCGAGCGGAUGAAGGGAGCUUGCUCCUGGAUUCAGCGGCGGACGGGUGAGUAAUGCCUAGGAAUCUGCCUGGUAGUGGGGGAUAACGUCCGGAAACGGGCGCUAAUACCGCAUACGUCCUGAGGGAGAAAGUGGGGGAUCUUCGGACCUCACGCUAUCAGAUGAGCCUAGGUCGGAUUAACUAGUUGGUGGGGUAAAGGCCUACCAAGGCGACGAUCCGUAACUGGUCUGAGAGGAUGAUCAGUCAAAAUUGAACUGAGGCCCGGUCCCGGCUCCUAAGGGAAGCAGCAGUGGGGAAUAUUUGACCAUGGGCGGAAACCUGGUCCAGGCCGUACGGCUGUGUGAAAGAAGUCUUCCGAGUUUUAAGCACUUUUAGUUGGGAGAAAAAACAGUAAGUUAAAUCCUUGCUUUUUUGGCGGUUACCAAAAAAAAAAGCACGGCUUACUUCGUU
This 484-nucleotide ribosomal RNA is filed under the name uncultured bacterium. RNAcentral describes it as "partial 16S ribosomal RNA". It matches the Rfam family "Bacterial small subunit ribosomal RNA", at positions 30 to 507 of the family's 1533-position model. The record is from RNAcentral.